Platichthys flesus (European flounder) is the source of this 433-nucleotide long non-coding RNA. RefSeq lists it as uncharacterized. The record is from RefSeq and is a predicted model, not a curated record. The transcript is spliced from 4 exons. NCBI's taxonomy places the organism in Eukaryota, Metazoa, Chordata, Actinopteri, Pleuronectiformes, Pleuronectidae.
GGGAGGAGGAGCCUGAGAACAGGGAGCGGUCAGACUCCAUUUUCACCUGGACGAGCAGAAGGAAGGAAAGUGAGCAGCAGUGGUCACCAACCAGUGGAGAGUCUUCACUGUGGAUCCCAGUAAAGCUCUGGACUCACUGGCUGAGGUGUGAGGAACAUCGACCUGCAGAGCCAGAUAAACAUUGAAACUGGUUUGAAAGAUCAUUUCAAUGUGUUCUGCUGUAAACUGAGCACAGAACCAGAGGAAAUAGACCAGACCUUGAAUAUCUAGAAGAGCAGCGUGGCCUGAACCACAACUGAGCCGCAGCCGGUGCAACAUGGACGAGGACACUUCAAAGCAAGUUGGACCCUCACACACAAAAGGUCAGGACCACAGACUGAGAGCAGAGUCUCCAGGGUCCAGCUGUCUGUCUCUGAAGAGUGACUGGUCCAUG